UCCCGUUAGUCGGGGUGCCGCGAAAAUCGGCUGAGAAAAUACCCGGGAACCUGAUACAGUUAGCACUGGCGUAGGAAACUAAUUUUCUGUUUUG
RNAcentral lists this non-coding RNA (94 nucleotides) under Actinobacillus succinogenes. RNAcentral's name for it is "TPP sequence". It matches the Rfam family "TPP riboswitch aptamer (THI element)". From Rfam's summary of the family: Vitamin B(1) in its active form thiamin pyrophosphate (TPP) is an essential coenzyme that is synthesised by coupling of pyrimidine and thiazole moieties in bacteria. The previously detected thiamin-regulatory element, thi box was extended, resulting in a new, highly conserved RNA secondary structure, the THI element, which is widely distributed in eubacteria and also occurs in some archaea. Analysis of operon structures identified a large number of new candidate thiamin-regulated genes, mostly transporters, in various prokaryotic organisms. Lineage: Bacteria; Pseudomonadati; Pseudomonadota; Gammaproteobacteria; Pasteurellales; Pasteurellaceae. RNAcentral also lists the same sequence under 1 other name. The record is from RNAcentral.